Molecule: RNA transcript, 2084 nt
Organism: Melanotaenia boesemani (Boeseman's rainbowfish)
Lineage: Eukaryota; Metazoa; Chordata; Actinopteri; Atheriniformes; Melanotaeniidae
Exons: 11
Source: RefSeq, a predicted model, not a curated record
AAAGAAUCUUGACCGACCAGGGGAGAGAAUUUGUUAAUUCUAUCAACAAAGAAGUGUGUGGUGCCUUGGGCAUCCAAAGGAGCCUCUGCUCUCCAUAUCAUCCUCAAACCAAUGGAUUGGUUGAGAGGAUGAAUGGGACGAUUCAGAGAGCCUUGAGUAAAGUGGUUGUCCGCCACCUAGAAGAAUGGGAUGAUUUCCUGGAUCCUAUAAUGUUUGGUCUUCGUACCAAAAAACAGAUGACCACAAAAUACUCACCAUACUACCUCAUGUUUGGACGAGAGGCUCGGUAUCCCUCUGAAAUUCCAGAGCAUCUUGAGAUUGACAACACUGUUGAGGAGGCAGUUGGAGCAGAGGAAAUCUCUGUGAACAUUGAGCGACAUACUAAACUUUUGGAGGUUGUCAGGGAAAACCUCUCAAAAGGUCAUGACAAAACAAAGGGCAAGAUAAAACCUGAUUAACAGCCUGAGCUGAAAGUAGGGGACAAGGUUUUGAGGAAAAAUGUCCGAAAUAGUAGCAGAAAAGGGGGUAAGCUGGAAGCUAGCUUCCUAGGGCCUUUUACUAUUGUGGCCAUGCAGGGAAAGAGUGCUGACCUUCAAGAUCAGAAAGGAGUGAUCUAUCCAAGGAUCAAUGUUGACCAGCUGAAGCUCACCUUUGACCCCGUCCCCAGAGUUCCACACAAAAAUCUUAGGAACCAACCAACUCCCCCCACAGCUCCAGCUCCCCAACCACCAGCUCCAACUCCUACACCUUCCUCAGUUCCAGCUACCCCACCAUCAGCUCCAGCUACCCCACCAUCAGCUCCAGCUACCCCACCAUCAGCUCCAAUUCCUCCACCAUCAGCUCCAGCUCCAGCUCCGACACCCUCCGCAGCUCCAGCUACCCCACUUUCAGCUCCAACUGCCUCCGCAGCUCCAGCUCCUCCACCAUCAGCUCCAGCUCCAACUUCUCCUGCAGCUCCAGCUCCCCCAUCGCCUGCUUUCACUCCCAGAUACACAAAAACUGUAGCAGAGAAGUGUAAGUACUAACUUAAUAAACUAAUUAACUAACUUCAUACAUACAUACAUACAUACAUACAUACUGCAUACAUGAAUGCAUACAAAUUUACUUGAGACAAGAAAACUUAUAUUUAGUGUUAAAUUGUAUUUAGCCCCUAAAAUGUUUGCAUAAUUCAUUCAUUAAUUCCCAUAAGUAACAAUUUUGAAUGUUUUUGUAUUUUUUUUUAUUUUUGACAGACUUCAGAGAUGUCUGGGCUGGAAAUGUUUCCCAUGUCCUCCUGUCCAAAGUGGGGGCAUACAAAAUGUUUUAUUGGGACAUAUCCCAAAUUGGACCAAAUAUGGAGAUGGAAAGUGAGGCUAUCAAUGCAUACAUGUCAAUCAUUGUGAGGGAUCACAACGCCCAAAACACACAAAAAGCAGCUGUGAUUGACUCUUUUGCAAUGACGGCAAUAUGGCAAGGAAAAUCCUCAAGAAUUAAGAUCAAACCCCUGGACUACCACAUUCUUUUGGGGAUCAUAAAUCAAAACCAUCACUGGAUAUUGGCGGCUAUCUAUCCACAUGAAAAAAGAUCCCUGCUAAUGGAUCCUCUGGGAGAGUCCAAACAAAAUAUAAAGCGAUGUUUGGAGAGAACAAGGGCUUUCCUUAGAAACAAGGGAUGCAAUGUGUCAAGGUGGACAUGUGACACAGUCGAACACCCCUUCCAAACAGAUGGCACCUCAUGUGGAGUGUUUUCACUGAAGUUUGCAGAAAAAAUCCUACAAAAUGAGAGAAUUCAUUUCAGUGCUACCCAACAGGCCAUCAACAGAUACAGGAUGGAAAUAGCUGUCACUCUCCUCCUACAGACUGACCUCAACAGAUGUGAGACAAGUCAAAUUUCAGCUCCUUUUAUUUUAAACAGAUGACCUAAAUGACUUGUGCUUCUAUUGUGGGACAAAGGAGCAUGAGACAGACAUUGACUGGAUCCAGUGUGAUAUUUGUCUGCGGUGGUUUCACCAGACCUGUGUAGGAAGCCCAUCACCACAGGAAACUUUUGUUUGCCCAGCUUGUGUUCACUGAAAAGUGAAGGGGGAUGAGCUGCUCUCAAAUGCA